CGAAUAGUUCCUGCGCGCUAGAGGAGCUCUCCAUUUUCCUUUUGUCUCUUAAUGAAUAGGUUAUGGUCCGGUUAAAUAUUAUUGAUUAUGUUUGUUAAAAACAACCUGAGGAUUGAUUAUAAAAAACAUUUGACAUGUUUCUACGACCAUUACGGAUACUAUUUGGAAUUUGUCGAACGGAACAAGGCUUUGGUUUUCUGAACAUAACACGCAACCCAAAUGGCGUUUUUUUGUGAUGAAGUAAUAUUUAUCGAACAAAAAGAACAUUUGUUGUGUAACUGGGAGUCUCGUGAGUGCAAACAUCUGAAGAUUUUCUUAGUUAAGCGAUUCAUUUUAUUGCUUUUUUGACUUUCGUGACCAAGCUAACCAAGCUAAUAUAAGGCUAACUGUUCUAGCAUUGAUUGUUACACUCACAAAAGCUUGGAUUUCUUUCGCUGUAAAGUAUAUUUUCAAAAUCUGUCACGAUAGGUGGAUUAACAACAAGCUAAUUGUGUUUUGGUAUAUUUCAAGCUAAGCUAAUAUAAGGCUAACUGUUCUAGCAUUGAUUGCUACACUCACAAAAGCUUGGAUUUCUUUCGCUGUAAAGUAUAUUUUCAAAAUCUGUCACGAUAGGGGGAUUAACGACAAGCUAAAUUGUGUUUUGGUAUAUUUCACUUGUGAUUGCAUGAUUAUAAAUAUUUUUUUUAAUAUUUUUUGCAUUUGGCGCCCUGCAAUUCUAGCGGUUGUUUGGGAAAGUGAUCCCGUAAAAGGGAUCUGUGCGCAGAGAAGUUAAAGGCACAGUCAAUUUAGUGUAUGUAAGCCUCUGACCCCAUACAGUGAAUUAUGAGUGAAAUAAUCUGUCUGUAAACAAUUGUUGGAAAAAUUACUUGUGUCAUGCACAAAGUAGAUCUCCUAACUGACUCAGGAUGUCUUAUAAAAGGGGUUGCAAGCUUUCAUCCAUGUAUACAGUUAAAAAUCUAGCUAACGUAAAUUCACGUAAACUCGUACAUCGCCUUGGUCCGUACAAUAGCCCUUAUUUUAACGCCCCCAAAAACAUGAUACUUCCAGAUCACCUGUAAUGUCAAUACCAUUGUAAAGCACAAUUUCUCCCCUUUCCAACAGAAUCAAUUACAUGACCUAAACACUGCCCGUUUCUGCAUAAUUCAAGCAGGCAGUCUAUUUCAAAAUGGCGGGUGGGGAAUCGAAACUAAUGCGUGAUAGUGAGAAGGAGAGAUGUCGUGUGGGAAAAUUGCUUUUUUUCACUCGAUCUGUCCAACUUAUCACCUUAUCGCCUCUAAAAUGUAAAUAAAUUACUAUAAAGAGUUUAUAUAAUGUGUGAUUACAUACCUAUUUGAAGGUUUGUGUCGAAUUUAAAUCGUGUUUUUAGGGUGGUGCUAAAGUGAUCUUAGAAGUAAACAGCGGCUUUGAGAAUGAUGAUCGAAUGAAAUGAUGACGCAAAAAAUGACUAGGUAUCCCCCUUACCCCCGUCACUGUCCAUUUCUUAUUUUUAAAGGAUGAGAGAAGUGCUACACCUGGUAGAGAGAGAUUGCUUUAUGCGUGCUGUACGUUACGACAUGACACGCCACGAUGUAACGGAGGGUCCAUUUUUUCACCUUUUCUCCAAUACUAUAGACCCAUUACCAUGUCGAUCAAAGCUUGAAUAGAAACCUAGUUCACACCCCCGAUUUUGAAGUCAACACUGUCGUUACAGUCCCAUUAGUUUUCUUUGUAGCCUCGUUUGAAUGUUGCGGUUGCGCACAUUUGUAUGGAAUGGGCAUCAAUCAGUAGAACAUGCCUAACUCUAAUCCACCAGUCAUACAGUCAUCAAAAAGAGAGUUGGCGCAAGCAAGGUUUCAUCAACUAAAUGCAUCAUUUCUUCACCAACUGCAGAGUUGGGAAAACACCUGUGGAUCUGCAAUUGUGAUAACUGCAGUGGGCAAAACAAGAACACGUUUGUGCUCUGGUAUUGUGCCUGGUGGAACAUGCACAAGCUCCACCACAAUCUGGACCUUCACCUCCUGAUCACAGGCCCCACCAAGUUUGCCCCUGACUGGUGCUUUGGCCUCAUCAAGCAGCGCUUCAGAGAGACCAGAGUGAACAUUUUGUCUGAGAAUGCUGGUAUUGUGAAGGACAGCCUGUGACAGGGGUCAACAUCCCACAGCUGGUUGGACUGGAGGAUGGUACGGUGCUGAUGAAAAGCUAUGGCUGGCAACAACAGCUCCAUACUUCAGGCCGCUGCCACAGAUCAAACAGUACCAGUACUUCAGCUUCGAUGAUCUGGAGCCUGGUGUUGUCGCCAAGGAGCGUUCAGACUGACCUCCCAUAGAUGGUCUGCCUGUAAAUGCACCACCUAGACUGGACACAGCUAGACAUCUUUUUGACAAGAUCAGGGAGUUUUGCGACGAAGAGGCUAUGGACAUCACAUGCCCUGCACCAAAGUCAAGGGCAGGACAGAAACAGGCUCUCAGAAUAAAUAGAUACCUUUGUUCACGCGUGGUUUGGACGGACCAGUCAUCAGCACUAUCUGCAGUGCCUCUAUUCACAUGACUCUCUCCUAACACACACGCCAUACUUUGCUGAUACUAUUUUCCCCCCUGCUGCUCAGCCACUUUACCCUUGAUUGUAUGCAUAUACCUACCUCGCACAUCACUGAUAUCGUCAACAUUUAUAUUGACACUAUCUCUUUCUGAUUUUGCUAAUAUGCAAGUAACCAUUUGGCUGUAUCGUUUACACAUUCUGAAGAGACCAUCCACUUAGCAAAAUAUUUGUAUGUGGGGUCGUAACAUGAUUUUGUGACACACCACAACAAUAUCAUGUGACCAUAUCAAGUGUCCACCACAUAAUAAUAUGGCACAUGCAUCUGUUUAUGUACUGUACAUGUGCACCUCACUCAGGUUUCAACUCAGGUUGCAUGGCCUUAACCUAUGUAUGGAAUACUGUAAUAAGGGCAUGUGUGACAGUAUAUAAAGUAUGCUAAUGUACUGGUGUGAAGGCAUUUGGGCAGUGGUGUAAAAAUACUUGAAAGUACUACUUAAGUAGUUUUUUGUGGUAUCUGUACAUUACUUUACUAUUUUAUAUUUUUAGCUACUUUUACUUCACUACAUUCGUAAAGAAAUUAAUGUACUUUUUACUCAAUACAUUUUCCCUUACACCCAAAAGUCUAUAUUUUGAUAGGAAAAUUGUCCAAUUCACACACUUAUCAAGAGAAUAUCUCUGGUCAUCCCUACUUUUUUAUAUUUUUAAAUUUUUAUUUCACCUUUAUUUAACCAGGUAGGCUAAUUGAGAACAAGUUCUCAUUUACAACUGCAACCUGGCCAAGAUAAAGCAAAGCAGUGUGACACAGACAACAACACAGAGUUACACAUGGAGUAAACAAUAAAUAAUACGGUGAUUGAAAACAAUGUAACCAAUCUACUGUAUAUAUUAUGUAUCAGGUGACAGAGGCCAUGUUUGAUUGGACAACAGAUGAGCUAGUUAGACAGUUCAAUCCAGAGGCAGGGUAGGGCAACACAGCCGGAAUGCUUGGGAUUUUUGGUUGUCAAUCGUUGCUCAGCAACCACACACCAUCUAGCUUGUCCUCUCACCUGCUCUCUCUCACCUCCCCUCGCUCUCACUCACAAACACACACAGGUACACACACAUACACAUUCUCUCGCUCUCUUCUUCACAUAGAUGUGUGAGCAAGGGAGCAGAUGUACCAUGGCAAUGUAUUCUACAGUGAGAUCUGCCUAGACAGAGAGAGGAGGAAAGAGGAGAGAAGUAGAGCGAGUCAAAGGAAGGACAUGGUAGUGCUGAAAGGCAGGAGGCCUUGACAGAUAAUAGACAGAGAUGGAGAUAGAGCCGCCAGUCUCUCAGUUAACUGGGGAUGCAGAGGUGCUAGAGCUAGACUAAUGGUUACUAUAUACACUCUCUCAGCACAGCACAGGUCUUUGUUUGUGUCUGUGCAUGUUUGUGUGUGUGUGUGUGUGUCUGUGCCUGCAUGCAUGCAUGAGAGUGUGCAUGUGAGUGUACAACAUGUGUAGUGUCCAGAAGCGGUAUGUCUGUGCUAUGGUCCAUAACGAGCCACCACCGAGAGGCUGCUUUCCCAUGGUGUACAUACAGUGUACAUACAGGAAUGAUAGUAUUGCAAUAAUAAUACAUGGAUGUACAGUAAAGCUGUAAGAGAGCAGAAGGCAAAUACUAUAGAUGCAUAAUACAGAACACACUCAAAGAUGUAACCAAAACUCCUUUUAGGUUGUGGAAUAAAUCUCUUUUUAUAUUUAUUCUUUAGAUUUUAGGGAAACAGCCGUUUUUUACAGCACAAUUUGCAUAAUAAUAUCUUAACACAUCCUGUGUACAACCACAAAACCAGAACGAUAGAUUCCCCAUUUUUACACUGAGUGAAAAACAAGACAAUUUUACAAGCAUAAUCUUUAUACAGUCGGCAUACAACUUCCGAUAAAUCUAUACAUAUUAUCUCCCUCUUUUUGAACAUAUCUGGAAGCAAAAUAUUGACAGACAUGCAAUAUCCAGUGUGGUAACAGGAAGUCUCAGACAACUGAAAUUAAGUAGAUUUGUCCCCUCUGGUUGGCUGGGCAUCUUUGACAUAGUUUUACAGUCAGACACCCAUGGGUUGACAACGCACGGUCAGAUCACAUAAUCACCUUCUCACACACACCACUAGAGACAGACAGACAGACAGGUUUUAAGUUUUUUGUAUUUUUGUUUUACACUCACAUGCUCAAACCUCAGACAAUACGAACAAUCAAUCUCUGUAGAAAAUAAAAACACUUUAUAUUUACAUAGAUCAGAUGAGCACGCCACAUUCACACCCCUCACAGAUACACACGUUUGAUUGGUUUCAUGGUUACUAGGAACGGACUGAGCGACAAUGGAUAUUGACAAUCUAGUUGAGUGUAAUCUGAGGAGAACAUGAAUGGGGGACAGACCUGGAGUUGGGCUUUGAAAAUGACCUCAUAAUUCUUCUCGGACUGAUCAUCAUGGAUUUAUACAUACAUGUGUUGGUGGUUAUAUUAACCAUACGGUUUGAUGGUGUCUCCUCAGAUAUGAAGCAAUAUGUACCUUAAAUUGUCUGUGAUUGUAGAUUUAGUUUGAGUUUUUCUUUUGCCAUGUAAAUCAAAAACUGUUUUGUAUGAACUCCUUCAUACAUCACAAACUCAAAAUCAUCUCAACAUAAAGACACUAAUUGGAACAGCCACUUCAACUUGCAUGUUAUGACACUUUACACGGAACAAGGAAAUCAGUCAACAAUGUAAUACUAAAGUGCACAAGCUUGAUGUAUAUGAUUGUAUACAGGUAGUAAAAAAAUGUAUCUAUAUUUUUUUAUAUUUUUCUUUAAUAAUAUAUAAAUCAAAAUUCUCUUCAUAAGAUACAUAUUUUCAGACGCAAUGUUCACUGAUAUUACUUGUUAAGAAAAUGCAUUCAAACACAAAGUCUAUGUUGCAUAGAAUUACUUCAACAGAACCAAUGGGUUUGCUUACAAAAUAAGGUUGGCACGACAAUAUAAUUUUUGUAAAACCUUUUUACCUUUCUUUAAAAUCAUGUAUAUUUUUUGUUUUAUGAACAUUCUGACAUCUUGACUCAGUGUCUGCAUUUCGAGCCUCUGAUAUGGACUUUAUGUAUUAGGAAAUUGCAUCUGUCAACCCUAGUUCCUCAGUGAUAUGCCUAGACACUAGCAGUCGGGUUGAGGGUAGUAGGUCUGUUGGGUCACCUGGUGAUGUUGUUUACUAUGAUGCACCAUAUUCAUAGUCUGGGUACCAAUCUUUUUAGCUAAUAUUCCACUCCCUGCCACUCCUGUCAUUUACCAAAGACACAGAGUACAAGGAAUGGGAUGUAAUAGCUGAACCGAGAUGAAAACCAGGCUACUAUAGUGAUGACUGACAAUAACAUUGACCUAUACUGUAUAUAAGUGUGUAUCAGCAUGUCCCGGCCAUAUGUGAUGACUGGGCCAUAGGUAAUGACUUAGAGCAUUGAGCAGAGGCAGUGCCACAGGCUGGUUCACUGUGUUGUUGCAUUACCUCCACUUACAAGAACACCGACUGCACAGUGUACAAUUUACAGUGUACUGUGUACAGCAUGAUGUUGGAUGUUCUGUUAUUAAACAAACCACACAUUGUGUGAUGUGAUGACAUUAACACACACACACACAGCAUAGAGAACCAGACUGUGAAGGCACACACCGAGAGGACAGGUGUGUUUACCUGUUGCUUUGACAUAGAACAGGUGAGCGGCCCAGACAGGUGAGCAGAGCACUUCACCAGAGAGAUGCUACACAUCCCUCUGUCCGAUUGCAGGUUGGGCAAAGUGGCCAGCAAUCCAGGUUUCUCUCUCAAACCAAAGCUAUUGUUUAAGCCUCCAGUCACGUGUGUGAAAGACAACACAAAAAUAUCAAGUCAGAUGGGUCCAGUAAAAUCAUAUGAUCUUCCUCAGUGAGUAACAUUCAGGACAUAAUAGGGGAUCGUUUGAAGAGGAAGGGACCUGACAUCCCCUUUCUAUCUGUUCUCUUCUCACCACCUGUAAGAGGAGGGAUAUCCAUGUCGUAGUUCUCCUCUCUAAUAUCUCAGUUGUAAAAUGAGUUCCACAUUCCCCAGUUGAACUGCAUUUUCCUAUUUUUUCCAAUGACUAACACCCAGUAUAACUGCAUAACAUCAGAGCUAAAGUGAUUGGAUUGUCUGUGCUCCUUCCAUACAUACCUUCUUCUGUACAGAAUACAUUUAGUCUUUAGAAUAAACUGCACAUGAGUAGACCCCUCGCAUCAUCUGCAAUAUCUGUAUGUUUUAUUGUUAUAAACUCUAUGUUCAUAAAUAACAUUUCUCUGUA
Long non-coding RNA from Salvelinus fontinalis (brook trout), 6798 nucleotides. RefSeq lists it as uncharacterized. NCBI's taxonomy places the organism in Eukaryota, Metazoa, Chordata, Actinopteri, Salmoniformes, Salmonidae. The record is from RefSeq and is a predicted model, not a curated record. The transcript is spliced from 3 exons.